UACAGAGGGUGCAAGCGUUGUUCGGAAUUAUUGGGCGUAAAGCGCGUGUAGGCGGCUUAGCAAGUCGGGCGUGAAAGCCCUCGGCUCAACCGAGGAAGUGCACCCGAAACUGCUGAGCUUGAGUGCCGGAGAGGAUGGCGGAAUUCCCCAAGUAGAGGUGAAAUUCGUAGAUAUGGGGAGGAACACCGGUGGCGAAGGCGGCCUGCUGGGCAGUGGCUGACGCUGAGGCGCGACAGCGUGGGGAGCGAACAGG
Molecule: ribosomal RNA, 253 nt
Filed under: uncultured bacterium
Lineage: Bacteria
Description: partial 16S ribosomal RNA
Rfam family: Bacterial small subunit ribosomal RNA
Source: RNAcentral